UGAGGAAUAUUGGGCAAUGCCCGAAAGGGUGACCCAGCAACGCCGCGUGGAGGAUGAAGGUCGUAAGAUUGUAAACUCCUGUUAGAGGGGAAGAAUAACUAAGUUUGGAGCUUAGUAUGACUGUACCCUCAGAGAAAGCCCCGGCCAACUACGUGCCAGCAGCCGCGGUAAUACGUAGGGGGCAAGCGUUGUCCGGAUUUACUGGGUGUAAAGGGCGCGCAGGCGGAAUGGAAAGUCAGUGGUGAAAUCCUACAGCUUAACUAUAGAACUGCCUUUGAUACUUUCAUUCUUGAGUUCGGGAGAGAGAGACGGAAUUCCAGGUGUAGUGGUGAAAUACGUAGAUAUCUGGAAGAACACCAGUUGCGAAGGCGGUCUCUUGGUCCGAUACUGACGCUGAGGCGCGAAAGCGUGGGGAGCAAACC
This 422-nucleotide ribosomal RNA is filed under the name uncultured bacterium. Its description in RNAcentral is "bacterial SSU rRNA". It matches the Rfam family "Bacterial small subunit ribosomal RNA", at positions 355 to 774 of the family's 1533-position model. The record is from RNAcentral.